This 183-nucleotide small RNA is filed under the name Vigna angularis var. angularis. RNAcentral's name for it is "Non-protein coding transcript". Lineage: Eukaryota; Viridiplantae; Streptophyta; Magnoliopsida; Fabales; Fabaceae. The record is from RNAcentral.
UUGUUUUCUGUUGAGCUUGUUAUUCUCCCGUGACCCACCUUUGUUGCUCCUGGACCACUUGUCCCCAAUGUCGCUUUUCUAACAAAUCCAUGGUUAGUUAAUCCCUUUUCCUUCAGAUGAUGCAAGCAUUAUACUGAAAAAUACCCGCCAAGUGUUUGUUGAUUUGUUCAUACCAGUUUGUAC